UACAGAGGUCCCAAGCGUUGUUCGGAUUCAUUGGGCGUAAAGCGCGCGUAGGCGGUUACACAAGUUGGAUGUGAAAGCCCUCGGCUUAACUGAGGAAGUGCAUCCAAAACUGUGCAGCUAGAGUACUAAAGAGGGUCGCGGAAUUCCCGGUGUAGAGGUGAAAUUCGUAGAUAUCGGGAGGAACACCGGUGGCGAAGGCGGCGACCUGGGUAGAUACUGACGCUGAGGCGCGAAAGCGUGGGGAGCAAACAGG
Molecule: ribosomal RNA, 253 nt
Filed under: uncultured bacterium
Lineage: Bacteria
Description: partial 16S ribosomal RNA
Rfam family: Bacterial small subunit ribosomal RNA
Source: RNAcentral